GUGGGGGGGUUGGAAAACCAGGUAGUGGCGUUGCUUUCGUUAGCUGCGGCGCAGAGCGUGGCCAGCGCAGAGAUGCGGGCUGGCUGCUACAGCACUACAGCACGGUCUCAAGACUGGGAAGCAUGUCAAGGAGAUGAUGGUGCAUCAUCCAUUCCCAUCUAUUGAGACUUCCACUGGAGAUACAGGCACUGCUGUAGCCCGUGCAUCUCAGACAACUCCCUCUAGGGCAGAAGGAGCUAAAGAAGGAGAAACCCUGAAGAGCCACAUGGACAUUCUCCAGCAGGUGAUACAAAAGCUGCCCACAGAAGGCCCACCAGCCCAACAUUCAGCCCUCACACCCACUCCUAAUGAUACCAUGGAUGCUCUUUGGUUAAAAGUAUACAGGAGACAUGCUAAAAAGGCAAAACAACUAGAAAACAUCCCAAUGACAAGAAGUCCUGCUCCAGCCACACCACCGUCAGCUCUGGCACUCCAGCCUGAUCCAGAGCUUUCUGUUGGGUUAUGUGGCUAUCAGUCUCCUCAGCUGAUGGCAGCACUGCAAGAGUUUGGCUCAGUUCUCCAAACUGCUGCUGCAAAAAAGAAAAGCAGGACUCUGGAGCAGCUAAUCAAUGGAUUCAGUGACAUUUUUGGGGAAUGCUUUAAAAUAAUGAAUGUUAAAUACCACAACUAAGCAUGAUGGUCCCAAACCUACCAACAAAAGGGUGGAGAAGGUUGUGUGGGACUAAAAAGGUGGAACACUGAGAAACUCAUCUUGGGUGUGAUUGAAGGAGACAGCAGUAGGGGGGACAAACCAGAUCUUGAUGGAUAGAGAGUGAGAGAAUGGAACAAACCAGACCUCGAUGAGUAGAGAGCAUGGCACAAACCAGAUCUUGAUGGCUAGAGAGUGAGAGAAUGGAACAAACCAGACCUUGAUGAGUAGAGAGCAUGGCACAAACCAGAUCUUGAUGGCUAGAGAGUGAGAGAAUGGAACAAACCAGACCUCGAUGAGUAGAGAGCAUGGCACAAACCAGAUCUUGAUGGAUAGAGAGUGAGAGAAUGGAACAACCAGACCUUGAUGAAUAGAGAGCAUGGCACAAAAUGGAAGAAACCAGAUUUGAUGGGCAAAGAGUAAGAGCAUUGAGCAAGCCACAUCUUGAUGGGCAUGGUGAACUGGCUGGAGUCUCCAAAUUCCUGAAGGACCAGAAGAGUGGAGAAUGUGUAAGAACAACCAUUUAUCUUUAAGGCUUCCACCAUCUCUAUCUCUCUGUCCAUGAGGUGUAGGAGAGCUCUCAGGUAAACCAGUAAAACCAAACUUUGAUUAACUUUAUGAUCUCAGUCCUCAAUUCAACCCAGAUCUGGAGAGUUCUGCUGAGAAGACAAGUCCAGCUUUGCAGAAAAGACUCUAACAAAUAGUUAAAUAUCAAUAUCUGAAUAUGUUCUUCUCCUGAGGUUCAAAGGAUCAAUUUCCAGUUUAGUCCCUCACCCAAAGCAGACAGAACUGUGCUCAUCCCAGUAAUUAAAAGACAGUUUUUCAAA
Pogoniulus pusillus (Red-fronted tinkerbird) is the source of this 1515-nucleotide long non-coding RNA. RefSeq lists it as uncharacterized. Lineage: Eukaryota; Metazoa; Chordata; Aves; Piciformes; Lybiidae. The record is from RefSeq and is a predicted model, not a curated record. The transcript is spliced from 4 exons.